RNAcentral lists this unclassified non-coding RNA (337 nucleotides) under soil metagenome. RNAcentral describes it as "partial contains 5.8S ribosomal RNA, internal transcribed spacer 2, and large subunit ribosomal RNA". The stretch from base 1 to 120 matches the Rfam family "5.8S ribosomal RNA", at positions 35 to 154 of the family's 154-position model. The record is from RNAcentral.
GAUGAAGAACGCAGCGAAAUGCGAUAAGUAGUGUGAAUUGCAGAAUUCAGUGAAUCAUCGAAUCUUUGAACGCACAUUGCGCCCCUUGGUAUUCCAUGGGGCAUGCCUGUUCGAGCGUCAUUUGUACCUUCAAGCUUUGCUUGGUGUUGGGUGUUUGUCUCGCCUUUGCGUGUAGACUCGCCUUAAAACAAUUGGCAGCCGGCGUAUUGAUUUCGGAGCGCAGUACAUCUCGCGCUUUGCACUCAUAACGACGACGUCCAAAAGUACAUUUUUACACUCUUGACCUCGGAUCAGGUAGGGAUACCCGCUGAACUUAAGCAUAUCAAUAAGCGGGGGA